RNAcentral lists this long non-coding RNA (1247 nucleotides) under Phasianus colchicus (ring-necked pheasant). Its description in RNAcentral is "lncRNA (ENSPCLG00000001954.1)". The record is from RNAcentral. Lineage: Eukaryota; Metazoa; Chordata; Aves; Galliformes; Phasianidae.
CAUACAGACAUCUUGUUGCAGGAUCUGACAGAGUAUUGUGAAUAGUGAAUAAAAGAAUAGUAAGAAACAAACUUCCAUGGAAAAGAAAAGAAUAUUGGCCAAGAUAUAAAAACAUAAUUUUCUACUACAUACAUUUCAAAAUGUAUGAAAUAUAUAACUAAGGUGCUGUUAUUUCUUAGCAAUAGAAAUAACAGUGGAUGAGAAAUCUGGGAGACAAACAACGGAUAGGAAUGUGGGGCUGGGAAAUGCUCUGAUUAAAUUAAUUUCAGUUAGAAAGAAGCUUAAGGCUUUUAAUCAUACUUUUAAAAAUGAUGGUUCAAACCUGAAUGAGUCAGAUCUGCAGUUUUAGUUGCAAAGCUGAAUGUGAAAACUAAUGCCAGGAAUUGCAUGAUUAGUUUAGUUUUGGGAGAAGCUCUGGAUCUCAAGAGUUGGCCCUAAUGCUGUUGUUACCAUGUGCUGUCUCUCUACUCUUACCAAAAUGAGUGCUUUUCUACCCUCAGAUCACAGCUGUCACUCAUUGCUUUGAUCCAAGAUUUUUCAAAGAGUAGGGGAAAUUUUAUUAUUUGACUCCAGGGCUUGGAUUCCAACAGGGAGAGAUACAAAGACAAUAAGGAGAAUUUGGAUAUAUAGCAUUAAUGCAAUCUGAUAACUGAGCUGUCUGAUCAAACAUUAUCAGUUUAAUGAUAUCUUCCAUUGAAUUUAUAUUCAUGUUUUGAGGAGUACAUUUGGUGUAGUGUUACAGAAUUUCAUUGUAAAGUUUGAUCUAAAACAAUCUGUAUUAAUGUGGAAAAACUAAGUUCUGGAAUAAUGUUUUUCCUCUGGAAUUUCUCAACAAAUGGUGGGAACUUUCACAUCAGUGGGGUUUAUUGCCAAACAUCAGAGUCACCUUAUGUUUAAGGAAUAUGAGAAAUUUUGCCCGAAGUUCUGAAUCUGUCACCUGGAUGUUUGCACUGUUAACUUGAAAGAUAAACUUGAGAGACUAAACCUGGGAGCUUUCUCAAGAGUAACUUGAUACCUGUAUAGAAGAUUCAGGUUAAUCUCUGGUAUAUCACUGAAAUUAACUUCACUGUAAUUAUUUUCAUUGGCAGGCCCCAAGUUGAGAUACACUAAUCAAGUGUCAUGAAGCUGCUGGGUGAAUAUCCUCAGGCAAAAGUAAAAAUGCUUUUCAUUUGCUCUAGGGACUCUUAUCAGUUUUCAUAAAUGCCAGUUGUCUGAAUAAAUGAAGAAGUGUCUCAGCUCUAUGGACA